This 253-nucleotide ribosomal RNA is filed under the name uncultured bacterium. RNAcentral describes it as "partial 16S ribosomal RNA". It matches the Rfam family "Bacterial small subunit ribosomal RNA", at positions 524 to 776 of the family's 1533-position model. The record is from RNAcentral.
UACGUAGGGGGCAAGCGUUGUCCGGAAUCAUUGGGCGUAAAGCGCGUGUAGGCGGCCCGGCAAGUCCGCUGUGAAAGCCGGGGGCUCAACCCUCGAAUGCCGGUGGAUACUGUCGGGCUAGAGUGCGGAAGAGGCGAGUGGAAUUCCUGGUGUAGCGGUGAAAUGCGCAGAGAUCAGGAGGAACACCAGUUGCGAAGGCAGCUCGCUGGGACGUGACUGACGCUGAGACGCGAAAGCGUGGGGAUCAAACAGG